RNAcentral lists this small nuclear RNA (21 nucleotides) under Arabidopsis thaliana (thale cress). RNAcentral's name for it is "snRNA_08434". Lineage: Eukaryota; Viridiplantae; Streptophyta; Magnoliopsida; Brassicales; Brassicaceae. The record is from RNAcentral.
UUACCACAGGGAUAACUGGCU